GGGUUUGAUCCUGGCUCAGAACGAACGCUGGCGGCGUGGCUAACCCAUGCAAGUCGAGCGCCAACGUACCCUUCGGGGUGCUAGUAGCGCGGCGGAAGGGUGAGUAACGCAUGGGCAACGUACCCCGAGCACAAGGAUAGACCGUCGAAAGGCGGCGUAAUACUCGAUAACACCCUCCGGACGUCUGGUCCGGGAGGUCAAAGGGUGGGGAUCCCGACUUGUCGGGACCUGUCGGCUCGGGAUCGGCCCAUGUUCCAUCAACUUGUUGGUGGGGUAACGGCCUACCAAGGCGAUGACGGAUAGCCGGACUGAGAGGUCGACCGGCCUCAUUGGGACUGAGACACUGCCCAGACUCCUACGGGAGGCUGCAGGGACGAAUAUUCCGCAAUGGGCGAAAGCCUGACGGAGCGACGCCGCGUGUGGGAAGAAGCCUUUCGGGGUGUAAACCACUGUCAAGGGCUGCCAAGCAAAUCCGCCUAAUACGCGGAGGCGUUGAGGAGCCCUGAAGGAAGCCACGGCUAACUUCGUGCCAGCAGCCGCGGUAAUACGAAGGUGGCUAGCGUUGUUCGGAAUCACUGGGCUUAAAGAGCACGUAGGCGGUCUGUUAAGCGCUCUGUGAAAUCCCUCGGCUCAACCGAGGAAUCGCUUGGCGAACUGGCAGACUCGAGGCAGGUAGGGGCGUGUGGAACUCUUGGUGGAGCGGUGAAAUGCGUAGAUAUCAAGAGGAACGCCGGAGGCGAAAGCGGCACGCUGGGCCUGACCGAUUCCAACCAUGAAUUUAUUCAUGGAAGGGAUCUUCCUGACGCUGAGGUGCGAAAGCCAGGGGAGCGAACGGGAUUAGAUACCCCGGUAGUCCUGGCCGUAAACAAUGUCCACUAGGUUGGGGUUCUAUUGACAGGGUCCCGGCCGAAGCUAAAGCGUUAAGUGGACCGCCUGGGGAGUACGGUCGCAAGGCUAAAACUCAAAGGAAUUGACGGGGGCUCACACAAGCGGUGGAGCAUGUUGCUCAAUUCGAUACAACGCGAAGAACCUUAUCCUGGGCUUGAAAAGCGCGGAUGCGGCUCUUGAAAGAGAUGUCCGCUGCCCUUCGGGGUGAAACGUGUACAGGUGCUGCAUGGCUGUCGUCAGCUCGUGUCGUGAGAUGUUGGGUUAAGUCCCGUAACGAGCGAAACCCUUGUCGCUAGUUGCCAGCGGGUCAUGCCGGGGACUCUAGCGAGACUGCCGGUGUCAAACCGGAGGAAGGCGGGGAUGACGUCAAGUCCUCAUGGCCUUUAUGCCCAGGGCUGCAAACGUGCUACAAUGGCCGGUACAAACCGACGCGAGACCGCGGGUGGAGCAAACCGGAAAAAACCGGCCCCAGUUCGGAUUGCAGUCUGCAACUCGACUGCAUGAAGUUGGAAUCGCUAGUAAUCGCGGAUCAGCUACGCCGCGGUGAAUAUGUUCCUGAGCCUUGUACACACCGCCCGUCAAGUCAUGGAAGCCGGUAGUACCCGAAGUCGCCUAUGGCGCCUAAGGUAAGAUCGGUGACUGGGACUAAGUCGUAACAAGGUA
Molecule: ribosomal RNA, 1551 nt
Filed under: metagenome
Description: bacterial SSU rRNA
Rfam family: Bacterial small subunit ribosomal RNA
Source: RNAcentral